UGGCAUCUAAACGUUUAGUUUGGAAAUGGAUCCCGACGCGUUUAGCCGUUUACUAACUUCUGCACUGGCAAGUGGGCAAUUGGCCUAUGCCCUGCAAUCUGCCCUUCAAAACCAUUCAUCGUCGAACCCACCAAGUGGCAGUGUGGUAGCUCCAACAUCAUUUACCGGUGGUCAGCAGGGACAAACACCGCCUCGGCCACAAUUAGGGUGUUAUCCAACCUCUUCAUCGGCUGCUGGCUCGUCCGUGAAUCAAAAUGAAAGGCAACAAUAAUCGAUUUCAAUUGGAGGUGCCUCUGGUUAUAAUGGCCCCCAGAACUUUGUGCUACCUGGAUAUGGUUACGUCCCUCCUGAAGCUCUUGAUCGUGGUUCGAGAUUAAAACAACGCUCCCAAAAGUUCCGUACUCCCCCUCCUGGGCCAAGUUGGCGAAUUACAGGUAGACCACAGGUAGAGCCAAAGGCAUUUACCAAGGUACUAGUCUGUUUUUCUGCCCAUUCCCAUUCCCAUUCACCAUUCCACGUGAAACUAUGUGAAUACAAAUACAAAUUCA
Molecule: long non-coding RNA, 548 nt
Filed under: Daphnia pulex (common water flea)
Lineage: Eukaryota; Metazoa; Arthropoda; Branchiopoda; Diplostraca; Daphniidae
Description: uncharacterized LOC124192381
Source: RNAcentral